GGCUUGACUGAUCUUCCCAUAGUAGGCUGUAUCCAUCUCAAAGCGUUUGGCUUCCAAGGCAUGUCGCUUGUCUUGAUCUUCCAUCUUCAUUUUGAUCUCCUGAUUAGCUGCCUGAAAAUGAGCAACACUUCUCUCCAACUCAGCUUUCUCUGUAAGUAACUAAUCUCUGGCCCUCUUCAUCUCGAGGAAUUCCUCCAUGCCGACGGAAGAACUUGGACCCUCAAUCAUAGGACACCCCAAAUCACCUCCAGGAAAUGGUAGAAAUGUAACCUCAAUCCUCUUCCGCAACCAAUCUUCGAACAAAGGAAAAUGC
Molecule: long non-coding RNA, 313 nt
Filed under: Lathyrus oleraceus (garden pea)
Lineage: Eukaryota; Viridiplantae; Streptophyta; Magnoliopsida; Fabales; Fabaceae
Description: Pisum sativum (pea) long non-coding RNA (PSAT_LNC039329)
Source: RNAcentral